Molecule: unclassified non-coding RNA, 342 nt
Filed under: soil metagenome
Description: partial contains 5.8S ribosomal RNA, internal transcribed spacer 2, and large subunit ribosomal RNA
Rfam family: 5.8S ribosomal RNA (bases 1-120)
Source: RNAcentral
GAUGAAGAACGUAGCGAAAUGCGAUAAGUAGUGUGAAUUGCAGAAUUCAGUGAAUCAUCGAAUCUUUGAACGCACAUUGCGCCCGCCAGCACUCUGGUGGGCAUGCCUGUUCGAGCGUCAUUUCAACCAUCAAGCCCCCAGGGGCUUGUGCUGGGGCCCUGCGGCUGCCCGCAGGCCCUGAAAACCAGUGGCGGGCUCGCUAGUCACACCGAGCGCAGUAGCACAUCUCGCUCAGGGCGUGCGGCGGGCUCCUGCCGUGAAACCCCCCACUGUAACCCCAAAGGUUGACCUCGGAUCAGGUAGGAAUACCCGCUGAACUUAAGCAUAUCAAUAAGCGGAGGA